RNAcentral lists this ribosomal RNA (497 nucleotides) under uncultured bacterium. Its description in RNAcentral is "partial 16S ribosomal RNA". It matches the Rfam family "Bacterial small subunit ribosomal RNA", at positions 28 to 507 of the family's 1533-position model. The record is from RNAcentral.
GAUGUACGCUGGCGGCGUGCCUAAUACAUGCAAGUCGAGCGAACAGAUGAGGAGCUUGCUCCUCUGACGUUAGCGGCGGACGGGUGAGUAACACGUGGAUAACCUACCUAUAAGACUGGGAUAACUUCGGGAAACCGGAGCUAAUACCGGAUAAUAUAUUGAACCGCAUGGUUCAAUAGUGAAAGACGGUUUUGCUGUCACUUAUAGAUGGAUCCGCGCCGCAUUAGCUAGUUGGUAAGGUAACGGCUUACCAAGGCAACGAUGCGUAGCCGACCUGAGAGGGGGAUCGGCCACACUGGAACUGAGACACGGUCCAGACUCCUACGGGAGGCAGCAGUAGGGAAUCUUCCGCAAUGGGCGAAAGCCUGACGGAGCAACGCCGCGUGAGUGAUGAAGGUCUUCGGAUCGUAAAACUCUGUUAUUAGGGAAGAACAAAUGUGUAAGUAACUAUGCACGUCUUGACGGUACCUAAUCAGAAAGCCACGGCUAACUACGUG